UAGGUAGAACAGAUGUUGCGAUCUGUUCUGUUCUUCCCAAGAACAGAUCCGAGGCGAUCUGUUCUUGGCGAGAACAGAUCCAUGAUCUGUUCUUGAAUCAAGAACAGACCGUGGGUGUAAUACCCCAAACUGUAUAAUUAUCCAAUUGGACCACGUGUCCAGUUUAGAUUCGCUGGAGUGAUGAUAUUGGAUUCCGAUAAAUAAGUUUUAGCAGGUCGGUUUUAGAAAAAGGUUAUUAUGGAGAAAACUUAUAUUAUAUUUUAAUUCUAAAGUUAGAAUUGGAAUUAAAUGGGAGAAUGGCGAGAAAAGCCUAAAAUAAGGUAUAGGGACCAAAGUGGUAAUUUAGCCACUUUAUGUCGAAAAUAGAAAUAUUGGAUUUUGACGGGAAAGUGUUAAUAUCGGGCUUUGUAUUAUUUAUCAGAUAUAAAUAAUACGUAUAAGUCGUAAUAAAAGAGUUUAACGAUUUAGCUAUGGACUAAAUCGUACGGAAGAAAAGUUUGAAAAAUAAAUGGUAACAAGGAAAGAAAGAAAGGAUCAAAGUGAGCUUUUAACCUUAACAUAUAAGGUUUUAGAAUUUGAAUCAGAAAGAAGGAAGAAGUAUCCAGAGAGAGCGAGAGAAAUUCAUUCGAUUACGUCGUUUCGCCGCCGUUUCUCCGUUCGACGUCCGAUUCAAGCGAUUUUCGCGGACAUCUCUCCGGAAUUCAAUCCUCUACUGAUCUUGAGCUUUAUUUCAAGACGUGUCAGCAAGUAGUGAAGUCAAUAGAGGCGGACUAGCGAGAGCGUAUUAUCAGAUCGAUCAUAUCAUUUCUUGGAUUGCGGUUCACUGUGCUUAGCUUGUGGACUUAGCUAGAGGCCAAUUUUGAAGUCCAGAAGUCAGCUGUAUAUGUUAGUUUCUGACUUCUGUGAGUGCUGCAGUAGUGGUCCUGUGUCGAUAGUAUAGUAGCCUAGACAGCAGUUCAUUUUGAUUGUAUAUAUUAACUGCUGUUAUUGUUUUAUAUGCAUUUUGAUAGGCUACGUGUUUAGUAUAUGAUCCACAGCCCCAGAUGCCGGUGAGAUGUUUGAAACACUAACCGAUGUAUAUAGUACCGCGAGGCCAGUUCGUACAAAGUACGGUAACUAGAGCCCGCGAGGUUUUGAAACAGUUAGUGUAAAUGCAUGAUUAUAUGUUAUAUAUGUAUAUUUGCUUCCGUUGUU
Molecule: long non-coding RNA, 1194 nt
Organism: Mercurialis annua (annual mercury)
Lineage: Eukaryota; Viridiplantae; Streptophyta; Magnoliopsida; Malpighiales; Euphorbiaceae
Exons: 3
Source: RefSeq, a predicted model, not a curated record